GUGGCUGUGGCGCAGUGGUAGCGCACCUGAUUGUGGCUCAGGUGGUCGUGGGUUCAAAUCCCAUCAGCCACCCCA
Molecule: transfer RNA, 75 nt
Filed under: Patescibacteria group bacterium
Lineage: Bacteria
Description: tRNA-His
Rfam family: tRNA
About the family: Transfer RNA (tRNA) molecules are approximately 80 nucleotides in length.
Source: RNAcentral